RNAcentral lists this long non-coding RNA (1118 nucleotides) under Heterocephalus glaber (naked mole-rat). RNAcentral's name for it is "lncRNA (ENSHGLG00000033888.1)". Lineage: Eukaryota; Metazoa; Chordata; Mammalia; Rodentia; Bathyergidae. The record is from RNAcentral.
UGGAAAACGAGAGAGGCAGAGACAGAGAAAAUACAGACAGGGAUAAAACCAGAGAGAAGACCCACGUUGCAGGGCUCUUGAAACAGUGCUCUCUCUGAUGUACCCCAAAGCUGUUUUGUUUCUCUCUGGCAUCUCCGAGCCCCCCUCCUCAUACGCGCAGUGCGUGCUGAGGAAUCUCUGGUGUCGGCAACACAGAGGGAGAUACGAGAUCUGCCUUCAGGAGUAGUCUCUCAUGGAGCAGCAGAGGCUGCUGUUGAAAAUGUUACACCACAAGGAAGAAGGUGGUCAAUUCUGCCGGAGAGGCGCCGACCUCUAGAAAUUCAGAGGGCUCACAGGGAUUGAACUCAGGACCUUGUGCUUGCCAGGCAGAUGCCGUGCCACUGAGCUACAUCCCCGGCCCUAAUUCAUUGUUUUUAAUCAAAUAGUUAUUGGUCACUCCCAAUCGUGUGUUAGAUACUGUGGAAAGUUCUUAAGAGAUGGGAGGUACAUGAAAAUCAUAAUAAAUGUGUAUGACUACAGGGGCACCUAAAAGAGCAAAGGAGAGAUUCGUGAAGAAAAACCACUCAAGAUCAGCUAUGUAAACCAGGUGUGGUGGCAUAUGCCUAUUAUCCCAGCACUUGGGAGGCUGAGGCAGGAGGAUGCAUCGAGCUUGAGCCAGUCUGGGCUACAUAGUGUGUUCAAGGCCAGCCUGGACCACAUAGGGAGAGCCUCUCAAAAAAAAAAAAAAAAAGGCUCUGAGAGGACAGGCAGUAUUUCUAAAUGCAGAGAUAAUGUAAAUAAUUCCAGCCACAGGAACUGAUAUUUGCAAAGGUCAGAGGUGGUGUGGAGCCUGGGUGUGUGAUCAUGUCUGACUGCCACUGAGCUGAAGAGGGGUCAGAAGGGACAGCCGGGCUCAGGCCCAUUAGGAGGACUUGAGUGCCCAACCCAAAGGCUUCUGUGUCCACCUGAGUCAUCCAGAUUCGGCAAAUAAAAAUACAAGAUGUCCCAAGAAGGCUUGAAUUUGAAUACAUAAGCAAUCAUUUGUAAGCUUUUCUCCAUGCAAUGUUUGGGACUUUCUCAUAUUAAAAAUGUUUUAUUUUGUUUUCUGAAACUCAGACUUCACCCAUGUUUUACCUGGC